Molecule: long non-coding RNA, 679 nt
Organism: Alosa sapidissima (American shad)
Lineage: Eukaryota; Metazoa; Chordata; Actinopteri; Clupeiformes; Clupeidae
Exons: 2
Source: RefSeq, a predicted model, not a curated record
CAACAGUUGACUUGGAUACACCAAACAAAUAAACAAAGAAGAAUAGGGGUAAAUUAAGUUUCAAUCGCAUAAGGGUCAAAACAAAACACUGAAAAGGAGACAUCUUUGGUUCAGCAUUCAAAAAUCCCACCAAGAAGUUGAACACCACAAGUAAUUUUGCAUAGCUGGGGAGGCUAGUAAGUUCUUGCACCAUACUGUCAUUUCCCUUGAAUACCUCCUGAUGUAAUGCUCACAACUCUGGUCUUCAACUGUUGAAUCUCUGCUCGGAGUCGCGCACACUCAUCAGUCAACAGAGAAAGGGUGGAUCAGCAGGCUGCAUUUGAGCAUGGUUCAACGAUGUCAGGGGCUUCAACACAGUAGUUGUGCUCCUCCACUGUGGUGACCAGUUCCUCUGCAUCAGUCUCAAAGGUGGUAGAAGCAGCAAGUUCAUGGUCAUCGCGCUCCCUUUUUUUAGCAGGUUCAUGGUCAUCGCGCUCCCUUUUUUUACGCUUCAUGAGCUGCGUCUUCUCAAACCUGCUGCUGACAUAGAUCUGCCUCUGCCUCUUGCUCUCAGAGGUGUGGGCAAACAGGCUGGGCACAUAGUCAGGGCUGAAGGGGUUGUUAUCUUUCCUUCCUAAGAUUCAAAACAAAAACAAAACGUGUGAGGUUGAGGUACUAUCAAACCUGACCAAAUUCCACU